Molecule: signal recognition particle RNA, 300 nt
Filed under: Microcebus murinus (gray mouse lemur)
Lineage: Eukaryota; Metazoa; Chordata; Mammalia; Primates; Cheirogaleidae
Description: Metazoan signal recognition particle RNA (ENSMICG00000035007.2)
Rfam family: Metazoan signal recognition particle RNA
About the family: The signal recognition particle (SRP) is a universally conserved ribonucleoprotein. It is involved in the co-translational targeting of proteins to membranes. The eukaryotic SRP consists of a 300-nucleotide 7S RNA and six proteins: SRPs 72, 68, 54, 19, 14, and 9.
Source: RNAcentral
GCAGGAUGUGGUGGCGCACACCUGUAGUCCCAGCUACUCGGGAGGCUGAGAGGGAAGGAUCGCUUGAGCCCAGGAGUUCUGGGCUGUAGUGCGCUAUGCCAAUCUGGAUGUCCACACUAAGUUCGGCAUCAACAUGGUGACCACCUGGGAGCGGGGAACCACCGGGUUGCCUAAGGAGGGGUGAACUGGCCCAGGUCAGAAACAGAGCAGGUCAAAACUCCAGUGCUGAUCAGUAGUGGGAUUGCACCUGUGAAUAGCCACUAUACUCCAGCCUGGGCAGCAUAGCGAGACCCUGUCUCU